This 526-nucleotide long non-coding RNA is filed under the name Gossypium barbadense (sea-island cotton). RNAcentral's name for it is "long non-coding RNA (GBAR_LNC011244)". The record is from RNAcentral. Lineage: Eukaryota; Viridiplantae; Streptophyta; Magnoliopsida; Malvales; Malvaceae.
UAGCUCUCAACUACUAGUCUAUGUACUAUACUUUUGCCUUCUACAUUCUUCUACCAUUUGUUUAUAAACAAGUGCAGCCCCAAACAUUGAUCUACUCAACACUUGGCACACCACAAUGGCUCACCACGGGCAUCCUCCACCUCCACCAGACCCUUUUGCACCCCCACCGCCAGGGCAUCCGGCACCACCUCCACCUGACCCUUUUGCUCCACCACCGCCAGGGCAUCCGGCACCACCUCCACCAGACCCCUUCGCACCACCUAUGUUCGGGCAGCCUCCACCGCCAGCACCACCUAUUCCGCACAAUCCGCCACCACCUCAAUUUGGGCAGCCUCCACCUCCUCAAGGUCCAGGAGGACCUCCUCCACCACCCCCAUAUUAGCCUAUAGCAUAAAAAUUUGAUUAGAUUCUUAUAGAAUUGUAACAAUAAAUAAGAGAGUAGAUAUUGUUAUGUUGAAUGUUGGAAGUGGAUGGUAAUAAUCUUUAUGUUACAAUAAAUGAGUUAGUGGUUGUUGCUCACAAAUUU